UUGCUUCUCUUGAGAGCGGCGGACGGGUGAGUAAUGCCUAGGAAUCUGCCUGGUAGUGGGGGAUAACGCUCGGAAACGGACGCUAAUACCGCAUACGUCCUACGGGAGAAAGCAGGGGACCUUCGGGCCUUGCGCUAUCAGAUGAGCCUAGGUCGGAUUAGCUAGUUGGUGAGGUAAUGGCUCACCAAGGCGACGAUCCGUAACUGGUCUGAGAGGAUGAUCAGUCACACUGGAACUGAGACACGGUCCAGACUCCUACGGGAGGCAGCAGUGGGGAAUAUUGGACAAUGGGCGAAAGCCUGAUCCAGCCAUGCCGCGUGUGUGAAGAAGGUCUUCGGAUUGUAAAGCACUUUAAGUUGGGAGGAAGGGCAUUAACCUAAUACGUUGGUGUCUUGACGUUACCGACAGAAUAAGCACCGGCUAACUCUGUGCCAGCAGCCGCGGUAAUACAGAGGGUGCAAGCGUUAAUCGGAAUUACUGGGCGUAAAGCGCGCGUAGGUGGUUUGUUAAGUUGGAUGUGAAAUCCCCGGGCUCAACCUGGGAACUGCAUUCAAAACUGACAAGCUAGAGUAUGGUAGAGGGUGGUGGAAUUUCCUGUGUAGCGGUGAAAUGCGUAGAUAUAGGAAGGAACACCAGUGGCGAAGGCGACCACCUGGACUGAUACUGACACU
This 671-nucleotide ribosomal RNA is filed under the name Pseudomonas corrugata. RNAcentral describes it as "bacterial SSU rRNA". It matches the Rfam family "Bacterial small subunit ribosomal RNA", at positions 80 to 747 of the family's 1533-position model. Lineage: Bacteria; Pseudomonadati; Pseudomonadota; Gammaproteobacteria; Pseudomonadales; Pseudomonadaceae. The record is from RNAcentral. RNAcentral also lists the same sequence under 1 other name.